GGGGAAUUUUCCGCAAUGGGCGAAAGCCUGACGGAGCAAUACCGCGUGAGGGAGGAAGGCUCUUGGGUUGUAAACCUCUUUUCUCAAGGAAUAACGCAAUGAAGGUACUUGAGGAAUAAGCAUCGGCUAACUCCGUGCCAGCAGCCGCGGUAAUACGGAGGAUGCAAGCGUUAUCCGGAAUGAUUGGGCGUAAAGGGUCCGCAGGUGGCAAUGUAAGUCUGCUGUCAAAGAAUGAGGCUCAACCUCAUCAAGGCAAGUGGAAACUACAUAGCUAGAGUACGGUCGGGGUAGAAGGAAUUCCUGGUGUAGCGGUGAAAUGCGUAGAGAUCAGGAAGAACAUCGGUGGCGAAGGCGCUCUGCUGGACCAUAACUGACACUCAGGGACGAAAGCUAGGGGAGCGAAUGGGAUUAGAUACCCCAGUAGUCCUAGCCGUAAACGAUGGAUACUAGGUGUUGUCUGUAUCGACCGGACAGUGCCGUAGCUAACGCGUUAAGUACUCCGGCCUGGGGAGUACGCACGCAAGUGUGAAACUCAAAGGUAACGG
RNAcentral lists this ribosomal RNA (545 nucleotides) under uncultured Nostoc sp. Its description in RNAcentral is "bacterial SSU rRNA". It matches the Rfam family "Bacterial small subunit ribosomal RNA", at positions 356 to 913 of the family's 1533-position model. The record is from RNAcentral. Lineage: Bacteria; Bacillati; Cyanobacteriota; Cyanophyceae; Nostocales; Nostocaceae.